Molecule: ribosomal RNA, 499 nt
Filed under: uncultured bacterium
Lineage: Bacteria
Description: partial 16S ribosomal RNA
Rfam family: Bacterial small subunit ribosomal RNA
Source: RNAcentral
GACGAACGCUGGCGGCGUGCCUAAUACAUGCAAGUCGAGCGGACUGAAUGGGAGCUUGCUCUUGUUCGGUCAGCGGCGGACGGGUGAGUAACACGUGGGCAACCUGCCCGCAAGACCGGGAUAACUCCGGGAAACCGGAGCUAAUACCGGAUAACACCGAAGACCGCAUGGUCUUUGGUUGGAAGGCGGCGCAAGCUGCCACUUGCGGAUGGGCCCGCGGCGCAUUAGCUAGUUGGUGAGGUAACGGCUCACCAAGGCGACGAUGCGUAGCCGGCCUGAGAGGGUGACCGGCCACACUGGGACUGAGACACGGCCCAGACUCCUACGGGAGGCAGCAGUAGGGAAUCGUCCGCAAUGGGCGAAAGCCUGACGGAGCGACGCCGCGUGAGCGAAGAAGGCCUUCGGGUCGUAAAGCUCUGUUGUGAGGGACGAAGGAGCGCCGUUUGAAGAAGGCGGCGCGGUGACGGUACCUCACGAGGAAGCCCCGGCUAACUACGUG